Molecule: RNA transcript, 16452 nt
Organism: Mirounga angustirostris (Northern elephant seal)
Lineage: Eukaryota; Metazoa; Chordata; Mammalia; Carnivora; Phocidae
Source: RefSeq, a predicted model, not a curated record
UGUGAGUCCUACUCCUAUGCACUAGUGUUGAAAGCAACCCCCAGCUUUUUUGCAAGCUGUGGCAGCUGUGAAAUGUCUGGACAGCAGAGAGUGUUGUGCUGUUGGCUCGUGCAUCAUAAUGCAGUGGGGGUAGAAGCACAUCAUUGUGUAAUGGAAUAAUUUGCUUUCUCCCUGGUUUCUAGACACAUCACAAAAUAAACACAGCAGUAAAAUGAAGCGUAAAGCGUAUUCGUGAGUUUUGAGUCGCAUUACUGUCGCUCGCGAGGCUGUGUGACCUUAAGCCUGUCACAAACUCUUUUUUUUUUUUUUACCUCUGGCAUUCUUAUCUGUUAAAUGGGAUGUCUUUCCUCAGUUGUUUUUCAAAUAGGAUCAUGUACACCAGAGGGGCCUAGUCGAUCGUCUGUCCUCUAUGCACUACCUGCAAACGUCUUAUCUUUUACUCAUAGUGAACCUUAACUGUUGCCAUCAUUUGAAAAAUCAGAAGAUGUGGGGCGCCCGGGUGGCUCAGUCCAUUAAGCUUCUGCCUUUAGCUCAGGUCAUGAUCCCAGUGUCCUGGGGUCGAGUCCUGCAUUGGGCUCCCUGCUCAGUGGGGAGCCUACUUCUCUCUCUGCCUGCCACUCCCCCUACUUGUGCUCUCUCUCUCCUCUCUCUCUCUCCUCUCUCUCUCUUUCUCUGACAAAUAAAUAAAUAAAAUCUUUUUUAAAAAGUCAGAAGGUGUUACACUGAAAAAAAUCAAGAUUUCUAGAUUCUCUAGAAACAGGAUUAUCUGGCAACACCACUCCCCUGUUCCCACGUGGCAACUAAAGGCUAUGACACAGCCCCUUCUCCUUUAGAUAGCAGUCUUUGCUACAGUAUACUUCAGUCCCCAUCUGGCCUGCUUUACACACUUCUGUUGCCUGCCUUGUCCCCGUAAGCGUUGAGUUUGUCACCUUUGAUGUUUAUAAAAACACAUUGAGUUUUAGCUGCAAUGUCCUUGACAAACACACUCAAUUUGGACCUUGAAAACCAGCUUUCUAAUACUGGUUCUUAAACUUCUGGAGAUCAUGGAAAUUUACUGGGUGAGAGUAAUUUCCCUGUGCAUUAAAAUGUUCAUAACAAUAGUUAUAUAAUGGAAUUAUUGAAAUAAUUUGUAUAAAAGUAUUUUGUAACAAUGAAACACUAAAACACUAAAUCUGUCAUGAUGAUUUGGUACUUCGCAUACUUCUUUUUAAGGACAAAUACAAGAGACUUUAUUCAUUAGACCUUAAGUUGACCAAUAUUUCAAAAUCUGAUGUAGCAAGACUUUAUAAGGUGAAUUACAUAGAAUAUUUGUUUCUAAAUUUUGUUAUGGGAGGAUCUGUUAAACUGCAUUUUUCCUCAAUUUUUUGAGUAAAGAAGUAGAGAUAAUGAUUCACAAGAAUAUUGUAAAAUAAAAUAUAUGUUCAAAAGUUAUUUGUGUUAGCUUGAAAAAGAGUUGUACAUCAACCAAUGGAGGCUCCAAUACUACAUACCUUUCUUUAUUGAUCUUUUUUCAAAUCUUCCAUUGUCUUUUCCAGGAUAUCUCGGUUACAAAUGAAUUUUAAAUGAGGUAACCAUGUUGUAAUAGAUUGAAAAUACGUAUCACAGGGCCUUGCUCAUUUUAGGAGUUCAAAGAAUGUUAAAGCUCAAUGAAACAGAACAAGAGCAGAAACAAAAAUAAAAUCUGGUUUUGCUACUUGACCUGAGUUGCCCCGUUCCCUUGCUUUAAACAAUCAGGAAUAAAUUGUGAUUGAUAAUGAUGCCUUGAAAUUAAUAACAUCCUCCUGCAAAGAGUAGGGAAUAUUUUAUAAUUCUUCCUAAUUAUGUAUGUCAUUACCUACUUUCUCAUUCAUCUGUUUAAUAUCCUCCAUGAGGCAGGCAGAAUCGGGUAUAUAGUAUUACUUAAUUUUGUAUGAGAUAAAAGGAAAAUAGAGAGAUUCAGUGCCUUUUCCAGGGUCAAUCAGUAGAACUGGUAGAAGAACUGUGGCUGUAACAGUUAGAUUACCUGAAUCGUCAGUCCUCUUGACAAGAAAAAAAUCUUCUGGGGCACCUGGGUGGCUCAGUCAGUUAAGCGUCUGCCUUCGGCUCAGAUCAUGAUCCCAGGGUCCUGGGAUUGAGCCCUGCAUUGGGUUCCCUGCUCAGUGGAGAGCCUGCUUUUCCAAUUCCCUCUGCUGCUCCCCACUUGCGUUCUCUCUCUCUGUCAAAUAAAUAAAUAAAAUCUUGAAAAAAAAAGAAAAAAAUCUUCUGAGUCCUUGAUAUACUUUAAGCAUUUAAAAUAUGUUUAUUAACUGUAAAAGACUUUUGAGUCUGUAAAAUGCUUCAUGACACCAAAUAAUAACUAUAUCUUUACAAUAGAAAAAGCAAAGUUAUUCAUUUCUUCAUUGAACAGUCAUUUAUUAAAUACAACAAAAAUCACACAAAAAUAUCUAAAGGUAAACAGCAAACUGUGUAAUUACCACAAAUGUAACAAAGCAUUAUAUCUGUAUUUAUUCAUUAGUAAAAGAGCUUAUAUGAAUGGAUAAGAAAACCACUAAAACCUGAAUGAAAACUGUAUAAGGGAUAUGAAAAUAUAAUUUACACACACACAAAACUAAAAUGACUAAUCCAGUAUAGACAGAGCAUUCUCUGUAGUAACCACAACUCAUGAGUCCUCAGUGGUUCCUCACUGUUCUGAAAAUAGGGCCAAAUUUCUUGGCAUGCCAUACACAUUCUUCUAAUAACACGAUCCCUUAUUCUCUAGCUAUACCGUUCACCACCCCAUCUCCUCACAUUCCACCCUGCCCUCCUGCAUUUCAACCAGUUCUCAGGAUCCAUCGUGCUAUGCUGUCUCUUACCCCACUACAAUCCCAACAUCCCUUACCCCUUUCUAUUCCAGAAUAUGCAAAAUGUAAAUCAGUUACAAAGCAUGCUAUUUAGUUCAAAUGACAUUUUUUUUUUUUUUUGUAGCAAGAGUUUCUGGAGAAAGGAAGCCGUGCAUUGAUUUAUAUUCUGCUACAACCUCCUUAUUUUAUUGGCAAACAGUAACAGUUUGUCUGUAGGUUACAUUGUGAGUAGUACUGUGAUACAGUAUGUGAUUGUGUGCAUAUGUUGUAAGGAAAGUCCCAUCCUCAAUUUACUCGGUCUUUUUUUUUUUUAAAAGAUUUUAUUUAUUUAUUUGAGAGAGAGAAUGGAAGAGAGAGAACGAGAUGGGGGAGGGUCAGAGAGAGAGGCAGACUCCCCGCUGAGCAGGGAGCCCGAUGCGGGACUCGAUCCUGGGACUCCAGGAUCAUGACCUGAGCCGAAGGCAGUCGCUUAACCAACUGAGCCACCCAGGUGCCCCUCAAUUUACUCAGUCUUACAGUGAGAGUAACAAUGCCCACCUGAGUGUUGCCCACCUGAGUGUUUCCCAUAUCUCACAGUGGGAAGAGUCCUAACUACCGUGUGUUACUUUAGAGAUGAUCCUUCUGGUAGAUGUUCAGUGGUACAGUAGCAAUGGAAUAAUUAUUAGAUCCCUUUCUGGUCCCUUCCUUUUUUCUCCCUCUUAAAUGAAUAGUGUCAGAAAUAAACUUAUAUUCCAACAAACCAAAGUCCAGGGCCAGAUGGCUUCACUGGUGAAUUCUACCAAAUAUUCAAAGAUUUAAUACCUAUCCUUCUCAAACUCUUCCAAAAAAUUGAAAAGGAGGGAAUGCUUUCAAGCUCAUUUCAUAAGGCUAGCAUUAACCCUGAUACCAAACCUGGACAAGGACACCACAAAAAAAGAAAAUUAUAGGCUAAUAUUCCUAAUACAUAGAUACAGAAAUCCUCAACAAAAUAUUAGCAAACCAAAUUCAACAAUAUAUCGAAAGGAUCAUACACCAUGAUCAAAUGGAAUUUAUUUGAAGGACGCAAGGAUGGUCCAACAUCUGCAAAUCAAUCAGUGUGAUAUACCACAUUAGCAAAAUAAAGGAUGAAAAUCAAUGAUCAUCUCAAUAGAUGCAGAAAAAGCAUUGACAAAAUUUAACACCCAUUUAUGAUAAAAACUCAAUGAAGUGGGUAUACAAGAGAUGUAUCUCAAUACAAUAAAGACCUAUAUCUGACAAACCCACAGUUGACAUCAUACACAAUAGUGAAAAGAUGAAAGCCUUUCCUCUAAUAUCAGGAACAUGACUAUAAUGCCACUUUUAUUCAAUGUGGUAUUGGAAAUCCUAGUCAUAACAAUUAGGCAAGAAAAAGAAGUAAAAGUAAUCCAAAUUUAAAGGAAGAAGUAAAACUGUCACUAUUUGGGGAUGGCAUGUACUAUAUAUAGAAAACCCAAAAGACUCUACCAAAAUGCUGUUAAAACUAAUAAACAAAUUCAGUGAAGUUCCAGGAUACAAAAUCGGUGUACAGAAAUUUGCUGCAUUCUACACAUGAAUAAUAAGCUAUGAGAAAGAGAAAUUUAGAAAACAAUCCCAUUUAUAAUUGCAUCAAAAAGAAUAAAAUACCUAGGAAUAAAUUUAGCCAAGGAAGUCAAAGACCUGUACAAUGAAAACUAUAAGACCCUGGUAAAAGAAAUUGAAGAAGACAUAAAUAAAUGGAAAGCUAUUCCAUGCUCAUGGAUUGGAAAAAUUAACAUUGUUAAAAUAUCAAAACAAAUCUGAUUCAGUGCAAUUCCUGUCAAAAUCCCGAUGGUAUUUUAUACAGAGCUAGGACAGAUAAUUCCAAAAUUCCUACGGAACCACAAAAGACCCGGAAUAGCCAAAGUGAUUUUGAGAAAGGAGAACAAAACUGGAGGUGUCAUGCUCCCUGAUUUCAAACCAUAUUAUAAAACUAUGGUAAUCAAAACAGUAUGAUAUCAACAUAAAAAUAGACACAUAGGUCAAUGGAACAGAAUAGAGAGCCCAGAAAUAAACCUAUACAUUAUAUGGUCAAGUAAUUUAUGACAAAGGAGCUAAGAAUAUACAAUGAAGAAAUAGCAGUCUCUGCAAGAAAUGGUGUUGGGAAAACUGAACGGCCACAUGCAAAAGAAUGAACCUAGACUACUCUGUUACACUAAACACAAAAACUAACUCAAAAUGGAUUAAAGACUUGAAUGUAAGACCUGAAAUCAUAAAAUUCCGAGAAGAAAACAUAGAUGACAUUGGUCUUAGCAAUGUUUUUUGGCUAUGACUUAAAAGGCAAAGGAAACAAAAGCAAAAAUUUUUGAAAAAUGGGAGUACAACAAACAAAAGCUUCUGCACAUGGAUGGAAGUUGACAUAUUAUGCUAAGUGAAAUAGGUCAGAUAGAGAAAGACAAAAUAACUGAUGAUUUUACUUAUAUGUGGAAUCUAAAAUACAAAACAAAACAAAACAAACUCAUGUAUACAGAAAACAAACUGGUGGUUACCAGAGGGGAAGGGAGUUGAAGGGUGGGUAAAAUGGGUGAUGAGUGGUAACUAGAUUUAUGCUAGUGAUCAUUUUGUAGUGUAUACAAAUAUCAAAUUAUAAUGUGCACCUGAAACUUAUGUAAUGUUAUAUCCCAAUAUUAUCUCAAUAAAAAAGAAGUAAACUCGCAGAUCAUUACAGCACAAAGGACCUUAGAAGAGACCAGUUGGUAUAAUGUAGACUCUAUGACCACUCUUCUAUGUGCUACAUGUUUUCUUGCUCAACACUCGCCUCAUUUACAAAUAAAGAUUUGAUGUUCACCUUCCCCAGGUGAUUGAGCUCUAUGAGGUCUGUCACUCUGUGGGAGAAAAUUGCCCAGUCCCUGCUUCCCCUUGUUUGAUAAACUGCCUGAUACAAAGUACCUCUGAAUAGCUAAAUGGUUACAUGAAUGAGUCAGUUAUACCUCAGAAAACUGAGGGUGACAAAGUUAUACAAAUCAUAUAAAGGAGUUACUGAAAUUAGGAGGGGACGAUGAAACCUACAUAUUCUCCUUCUAAGUUACUUAUAAGCAGGGUGAUUAAUAUCAGCUAGAUCUUAUUGUCAUUCUGUAGUAAGUACCACCAAGAAACACAAAGCCAAGAACAGAGCCAGUGAGUGGAAGGCACAAGUGGCUGGCUGGUUGGGUGUCAGUCUGCUCUUUAAGGAAGGAAUUAAGGACUGGCCUCUUCAUUGAGGUGUCCUUUGAGCAGAAAUCUGAAAAUAGUGAGGAGGUGAUUCAUGAUGGACAUCUGGAGCAAUUGUUCUAGACGUGGGGAAAAAUUGAGGAAGAGCGAAGGAGUUGGCAUUGCUAGCAUAUAGGAGCUUUGGGAGUUAGGAGAAUUUUAGACAUUAAGGUUACAGAGAUGAAUGUUGUGGUGGGGAAGAUAAUAGGUUCUCACAGAUAAUCGUAAGGGUGGGAAAAUAUUGGAGAGUUUGACAUGGUGAGAUUUAUACAUUUUCAUAGGACUUUUCUGCCUGCUGUGUGGAGAACAGGGGACAGAGCCGAAGAAGGGAAAUCAUUCAGAACACCAGCACAACAGUCCAGGAGAGAAAUGGCACACUUAAUCACAUGCUAUGUCCACUGCAAGGGAAGCUUGGAAAUGUGAUCUAGCUGUAUCCUGAAAGGGUAGGGAAAGCGGAGGUUUGGAGACCUCACAGUCUCUGUCAUGGGAUUCUUUAAAUCCCACUCCAGAUGAGUAGUUUACUGGGAGAGUGUCCUCCUGUGUAUGGCUUCAGUUCAAUCUAUUUGAGUACUUACGUUGUAAUGAAACUAGGAAUAGUCUCCCUCCCUGCACCCCUUUGGCAUGUGACCACAGAGAAGCAGUGGUUCUCUGAUGCACAUACAAACUGCAGAUCAGUCUCAAAUACGAAUUUUGUUUGCACUUUUAAAGCAAUCACCAUUGUUCCAACAGCCUUGUGAAUCAAGAAGGACAUUUUAUUAGGGACAAGAAAGGGAAAGAGCAGAGAAAUGACACAAUGGAUGACCACAAGGUUAUCCCUGUGGCUUUACUUAUCCACAGUGUACAUUCUGAAGUCUGCAUGCUUGUGUGCGCACAAAGGCAGCCAUUCACCAGCCACACAGGCAGGCACACACACACACACACACACACACACUUUGACAAUCUUCCCUUCUUCACAGAGAACAUUAUAUUUCUGGUUUCCUUGGCAUGUCUCAUGAUAGCCUAUCUAACCAAAAUCACCAAAGCUGCCUCUUUUCUUUCCACUGGUUUCUUCACCUAUUAAGAAUCAACACUGAGAUAAUCCUCUCUAAGAAGCCUACUCUGUCUUUUCCAGGUUGAAUUAGGAGCCCUUUCUCUGACCUAGACUAAUGUGUGUAUAUUGCUUUAACACACUUAUCAAAUUCUAUCCAAUUCAUGUGUUUAUCACUAGCUUGUUAGUGCUUUGUGAUCAAAGACUGUGUGUUCAUUUAUGUAUCCCCAAUAUUUAGCAGUGUCCAGUGUAUAGCAGGUGUUUAUUAAUUGUGGUGAAUGAAUGAGGUAAUGAGUGAAUCAAUGGACCAUUCUGAGUUCAAUAUGACAAGGAAUGGAAAACACACUGAGGACAUCAUGACACGGCAAAGUUCACAGCACAUUGUGUAAGCAUUACAGGUAGAGAAAUCACCGAUGAGCUGAUUCCUCCUCUUUACAAGUUCUCUGGCCAGAAAUAUAUCAGGCCACAUUUAUUUAACAGAUUUCAAAACAACUAAGUGAUACUGAAUAUAGCAACCCCUUUAGUUGGUUAUUAUUUACUUAGUUGCUCACAUACACCCACAUAUCCCUGCUUUGUUUCACAGAGGACUUGAGAUCAGGAUGCGGAAUGCAUACAUUGUAAAUUUAGCUUUUCUAUAUGAAAGGACAGCUUUACAUAAGCUUUUAAAAUAUAGAAUGAGAAUUGAGGUUUUAAAACAUGAAGUUUUGUCUUGAGAGAUCAGCUUUUGUUGGGUGGUAUAAUUUUGCAGAUAUUAGCAUAAACACUCCAGCAAAGCCAAGAUGUUGGGGAUGGGAAAAAGGUGGCAGGGAGCCAAAAGAAAGUAUUGUAAUUUGGUCGAAAUUAACAGGCAGCUGUUAGGUCAUCUCUAAGCUACCACUUAAGUAUGCUGAAAAUUCGGGGUGGGUUGAAACCAGAGUCAAUUCCAAUAAAAUGUGGUUAGUUAAAUGGUCAACAUGGUUAAAAUAAUGUACCAAAUAGCUAAAUAAGGAGUUUGACAUUUACAGUUGCAGAAGAGGGAAAGGUUACUAUGGUGGAUAUGAAUUCUCUUCAACUAGCAGUUUCCUCAUCUGUACGUGGGGUUCGUAAAGUUAUCUUGCUGGGAGAGUAUGAAAGUUGGGCACCUAGCAAGUCCAAAUACAUAGUAACGAGGAAACAUGGCAGACGACGUGGACCAGCAACAAACUACCAACAUUGUAGAAGAGCCCCUGGAUCUCAUCAGGCUCAGCCUGGAUGAGCAAAUUUAUGUGAAAAUCAGAAAUGACAGAAAGCGGGCGCCUGGAAAGCUUCGAGGCAGAUUACAUGCUUAUAAUCAGCAUUUAAAUAUGAUAUUCGGAGAUGUGGAAGAAACUGACUACUAUAGAAAUUGAUGAGGAAACAUACGAAGAGAUAUAUAAAUCAACAAAACGGAGUAUUCCAAUGCUUUUUGUCUGGGGACAUGGUGUUGUACUAGUUGCCCCUCCAUUAAGAGCUGGCUGAAACAAAGAAUUUACCAUGUAUGGAAUAUAGGAGCUUUUGUAUGAUUGCCUCUUUAAAUGUAGAAGACAUUCAAAAGAGAAACCUGUGUAAAUUUUGAUAUUAAGAAAUGACCAAGGAUUCUUCCACUCCUGAAAUGAGUUGACUGGCAGAUAACUCAAAAAUUCUUAAGCUAAAGGGCAUUUUAAUUUUUUUCCAACCCUUUCAAUAAAUGUGAUCACCAAGAUGCAGGGGAAAAAAAAAAAACAAAACAAAAAACAAAUACAUAGUAAUGAAUAACCUUAUUGCAGAUGUUCUAUCUGAUGCGCUCCAGCUCUACCAAAAGAAAUUAACCUGCUGAGGUCAGCAAACAAGUUUGUGGUUCUUUAUUGCUGGAGCCACCCAGGAAUCCUUUAUUCACUAGGAACUUUAUCACUCACACUGUUAAUUACGAAAUAUAUGCAAACAUGCAUUUGAUGAGAAAAAUAAUUUCAACAUUGAACCACCAUUUUGAACCCUUUUGGUGAAGUUUGGAUGCUAUGAUUUAAAAAAAUAAAAUUAAUAUAAAUUUGCUUGAGUAAAACAUGUUACCACCUGAAAGCACUGUCCAGGUAAUGCUUCUGCGACAAUGGAAAUAUUCUAUUCUGCUCUGUCCCCUAUGGUGGCCACCAGCCACAGUCAGCAGUUGAGCACUUGACAUGUAGCUAAUGAGAUUAAGGAACUGAUUUUAAAUUUUAAUUAACUUAAAAUGAUUAGCCAUGUGUGAUUAGUGGCUAUCAUAUUAGCAUAGAUUUCUACAAGGUUAGUUUAUUAAACAAAUAAGUAAAAUAUAAAACAUUUCAGAUGAUAAUAAGCACCAUGUAGAAAAAGCCAGGAAGGGGAGAUCAUGAUGUCCUUGUGAAAUUUUAAAAUAUUUUAGUGUCCUGAUUUAUUGUGAAUGUAUAGGCCGUUUACCGAUGUUCCAUUUUCAAUCAUAAAAAUAUUUUCUACUCAAAAAAAGUAGGAGCAUUUUUUUUCUUUUUUUUUUUAUCACAAGUGAUAUUUUUGUGACAAACUUAUAAGGAACAAAUUUGAUUUUUUUCCAACAAUGCCUUGGUAUCUAUGUUUAUUUUAGUUUAGUCAGUCUUGUGGCAACUUUUCUAUCGUGUCUUGAAACCGAGUGGAAGGCAGAUUGCAACUUUUGCAUUCCACUUUUGGAAAGUUGUUAUACAGUCUAACCCAGGUAAGAUAUAUAAAAAUAUAUACCUUUAUCAUCAUAAGAUUGCAAAGCAGUUGAUAUAUUUCUGGGACUGUGUCUGUUAAAAAGUAAAAGAAUGUUUCAUUUGGGGACAUUAAGACUCAGUAUUUCAUAAAAAUAGACAAAAGUAAAUCAGACUCUGUGAACUUAUCAUAUUUGAAAUAACACAGAGCUUUUAAUAUUAUCAAAUAAAGUAGACCUCCAGGAAGCUUCAGAUGACUAUAUAAUUUUCCAAGUUAAUGUUAAAAAAGAAAAGUCAGUUUUGAUUGGGAGCUAUACUGAAACUCCGACUGGGCCAACUGGGAAACUAGGCUAUCAUAGUGAUUGUGAUAUGUAAUAUAUUCCUUAAACUUUAUUGAUUUUCUAUAGUUCAGUACAAAUGAGCUCAAAGCACUUCAUGUAUUUUAUCUCAUUUGUCCUCACAACAUUUCUGUAAGAUAGGUAGGGGGGCAACUGUAAUUAAAGAUUAGAUGUGUCAGUUUUCCAUUGUUACAGAAACGCAUUAAACUGGAACCUAUUCAGCCUGCCAACCAAGACAAUUAAGUAGUCGUUUCACUUAUCAAAGUACCAAUUACUUGAUUUUUUUUGUUACAUCAUAAUUUUCUCUCAAACUAAUCCUGCAUCUUCCAUAAUUUCAAAGUUCAACACUAGUAGUACUUCUUGGGAACAGUAUUUUGGGAGGCUUUCUUUUGUGAAAUUUCCUAAAUAAUUCUUCUCUUGUCACCAGCUCAAGUUCAUGCAUAGGGCGUUAGGGUAUGAAAACAAGUGCUCAUUUUUUUAAAGUCAAUAACAUAUGUUUGAGGCAUGUUAGGUAAUAUAACUAAUUGCAAACACUUCUUGCUUUGCCUCUUUUUUUUUUCUUAUUUACUUAGGUCCUCAAAACUGUGCUAUAUGGCCCAACUGCUUUUCAAACAAGUAACUACUCCAUCCCUAUUAUUUUAUAACAUUUAUAUUUAACAUUUAUAUUUAGCACACAAUGUUGAUGUGAAACAUUUUUUAAAUCAUAUAGGUAGUGAUCAUAAAAAAAUUCAGCUUUAAAGUUUUUCUACCAAAAAAAGUUAAUCACACCAUACAUCUUCUUUUUUACUACUUCUUUUUAAUUUCACAUUAUUUACCAUCUCUACCAGUAACUAGGAAAAAAAUAUUUCCUUCCAUUUGUGUGACAGAGACUGCUAGCUACUCACCAAAAAUCCAGGCUCCCCUCUUCUUCCUGUGCACACAGAUGGAGCAAAUUCCCCAGGCUCCCUUGUAGUUCGAUGCAGGUAGUGACUGUUUUUACCAGUGCCCUGUACGUGGGAGCAGUGGUGACUAACUCCAGGCCAUGUGUGCCUUCCUGUGAUUUUUUUAAUCUAACUAACUCAGAUGGAGAUGAUGCUCAAGGUGACUUUGUAAACAACAUGUUGAAGACAUCAGCGUCACCAUCAGCCUAGGUCUUUGAAUGACUUUGUGGAGGAAAAUCAUGCUGCCAUUUUGUUCCCCUCCCCAGCACAAUAUAGCAAAUGUCUAUUGUAAGGGAGCCAUUAUACAUCCCGGGGUAUAUUCAUUACAGCAGUUAGCCUGGGAUAACUACUACACCACUUAAAAUGUGUAUUAUCACAAGAAUACAAAUAUUCAAGAGAAGCUUAACAAGUGAGGUAGAUAUAAAACUACGGGCAAAUAUUUAUUCAGAUAAAUCCCACUGGCCACAAACUACCAGAACACAAAGCCAGGAAGCCAAGGGAUUACUUACUGGGUUAAAAUUGCCUAGAAACUUGUGUGAGCAAGAUGUACACUUUAUAAAUAAGACCCAGAACUGCAUAUAUAUUUUUCUAGCCCUAGUUUUUCCACAGUAUGUGUCCGGUUGAUACCAAACCUUACUCAAAUAUCUUACCUAAUACCGACAUUUUUGUAGAACCUGAUUUGGAAUAUAUAAGUGAAAAAAAGGAUGAAAUAUGAAAAAUGGAUAUCAAAAUCUGAAGCAGUGAAAUAGGAGCAUCAGAAGAAAAUUGGAUCAUGAAAUGGAGUUCCUGAACAGGAAGGAAAUUAGAACAUGCUUAUAAGGACUAUGUUGAAUUAGAAAUAUGUGAAAAUAUAGCUGCUCGAGGAAGUGGCAUGGGAGGAUCAAUCAAGAAAAAGGAAUAUAAAAAGAACACAUUAUGGAAAUGGGGAAGGAAAAGAAAUAAAAGAAGAACACAUAGUAUAUUGAGUAUAAAUUUUUAAGCUCUAAGGGUGAGAAAGGGCAAAAAGGAAAAUAAAGCUGAGUGAAUUAAUGUUGGUUAAAAGGGGUAAGUGGAAUCAAAGGGGGCUCUUAAAAUUAUAUCAGGUGAAAAAGAAAUACUAGAAAGAAAGUGGAUCCAUAAAUAACCUGAAAAUGGAUGGAAUCAAUAAUGUUUAAAUGGUUGAACUACUCAACUUUAAAAUGUUUUAACUAAAAUAAUGAAAGUUAUGGAAAAUUAUUAAGUUAUGAAGAGCUAUAAAUAUGGCUAAUGAUAAAAUUAAGUAAAAGAAUAUUAGAAUGAUUAAGUUGGUCAGGAGUUCUGAUGAUAUGUAUCAUGAGGAUCAGAGGGUUUCUCUAAUUAAUUUGCCAUCCCCUGUGUCUUAUUUUUAAAGAAAUCAUAGAUAAUGAAGAAACUAGCAAAAAAUAAAAGGCAAAAGUAAAUGUGAUGCACUCUUAAAAAUGUAGUUUUAUUAAUUGUGAAAAUGAUUAUAGUUGGUUUUAAUCAAGCAAAAUCAUAAUAUACAUUAAGCAAAUGUUUUGGAUGGAAGAGAUGAAAUGUUUAAUGAAAGAAAAGAUUAUCAAAUUUUGAUCAAGACAUUUAAAUUUUCUAUAAUUUUAUUUGAUCUAUGGGCUAUUCAUAGUUUAUUUUGUUCAGAAUAAAUUUAGUAACAUAGAAAAUUAUUGGGAGCUCAUCAGAACACAGAUGUUCUAUAUUCUCAUAUAUAUACAAAUAUAUAUUAAAGAAAUACUUACAAACAUAAGUAAUAUAUAUAAAUAUAAUCAUAUAAAAACAUGUAUGUUUCAAGGUAUAUAUUUUUGAUUACCAUUAUUUACUAAGUUCAAACAAUAAAACUAGAUCUUUAGGAAUGUAUGACACCAUUCUGAAUGUGUGUCACGUACAUAACAAAUAUAAAUUAUUGUUAGAAGUAUUUUAUUAAGCCAAGAACUUUAAAAUGUAAGGAUUAUAAAAAGAAGCAUGUCCAUCACCAAUAAAUUACUCAUCAGUAUUCAGUUGUGUUGCCUACAUGGUGACUCUACCCUAUCGGUUGUCCUCCCCCUACACUGAUCUUUUUUUUUUUCAUUUUUCACAAGGGUCAGGCUUUGCUCUGCCCAGGGCUUAUGCAUAUGCUGUUUAUCCCUGUAUACUUAACCCCCUCUGACUAUGCACCUCCACUCUUUCCUUGACCUAAGCAUUUUGAACUCUUCCUUCAUAUCUUAGGCAAAGCAUGACUUCUCUCAUGGAAGUCUCUCAUGACUUCAACCAGGUCAAUUAACCCUGUACCUAUUACCCUGCAUUACAACCAAAGACACAUCAUACUUUAAAAAAAAAAAGACGUAGAUGUUGAUAUGAUUGUUACUGUUGAAAGGAACCUGAAACUUCAAUACAUUCUAUCUCAAAUAUUAGAAUAUUUUUCUAUCUUUCAUGUUUUCUUUAUAGACCUAUUAAAUGUACUCACCAGUGAAAAGGUCUUUUAAAAGUUAUAAUAAGCACAAAAUUCACAUAAGCACUGUGGCUGACAUGGAAACUUAAUACAAUUCCGUUUUUUCUUCAUUGAUGGAAAUAACUGAGUUAUUAAGAUUUGAUUACUAAGAUUCUCAUAACAAAGCAAUUCUUUGGCCAACAGUUACAGCUCUGUCAUUAUUGCUGGCUAAACAAGUUGAAAGCUAUUAAUCAGAGGCAUGAGUAAGUUGUUCUUGGUGUGGUGGUGGUGGUGUGGUAAAGAAUGAAGAUGAUUGUGAUAAAUACUCCAUCAUGGAAUCUUUUGUAUAGUAUUUUUAAAAAAUAGUGACUAGAUGAAAACUGAAUAUCCUAUUCUGGGAUCGUUUAUUAAUUUCAACAUUUCAAGCUGUACAUGUAGUCAAAUAAGCUAUUACAUCAAGAGGCAUAUUUUCCUUUUUAACCUGGAGACUUGCAUGCAAGUUAGAUGAAACAGCAGGUUGCCAAUGAUCUAGAGGAUGCAGAAUGAAAGAAAGAAAAAGUGAAACAGAUGAUUCAUCCCAUCAGCUUCCUGAAGGUCUUUAGACUUACCCUUGUAAUGCCAUCCUUAGAACUAGCAAGCAAGAGCACUUCGGAGCUUUUAGCCAUCUUCAUAUCCUGCACACCACAGAACAAUCGGGAGGAACCUGGAUAGCCUUAAAGUAGUGUGCAAGAACAGCACAUGACACAGACUUCAAUGAGGAGACCAGAGAGAAGUUCUGGUCUUCACCUUGACAUUGCUCAAUUCUCUCACCCUUGGUCUGACAGUUGUCUCUCUACACUUAAGUUUCUUCACCUGUAAAAAUGUGUUAAAGCUAAUAAUAAAAAUAGCUCACAGUUUGCAACUGUAUGAUUGAUGUCUGCUUCACCAGAGUGCUAUGUCAAAAUGAUGUGCCUUAUUUAAGCCUCAAAAUAAGCCAGUGUUGUUAUUAUUCCCCCGUAUUGGGGUUGAGGAAAUGGAGAUUUAGCAUACAGUUAUCACCAGAGUCCAAACCUUUAGUCUUGGAAUACUACCAUAGGCCACACUUGGUGCCCAGUCUACCAAGGAGGAUAGAGGGCAGGAACCAUGAGCUUCAGCGCUAGAGAUUCCUGCUCAGUGGGAGUCCUUGCAGGGGUCUCUCCGGCAGGCUAUUUAGCUGCUGUUUUGCUGCCCAGGAGACCUCUUCUCCCCAUAUGGCAAAUCAGUGCAAGGAGACGAGACUCAUGUUGGCACUUGUGGGAGCAGCCGAGUCUAAAGCCUCCUGACCGCACAGGAACUAUUAUCUCUUACAAUAUUUCAUAUGCAGAAUUUCCAGGGACACAUCAGUUACAAGAGUCACCAAACUCUGGGAAGCCCAAAGUUUGGUCUCCUCAUCACGUAUUCAGUAGUUCACUUAUAGUCCUUCCAGCUGAGUUUCAAUUUACCAAUCAGUGGUCUUUUUUUCCACAAGCAAUACUACAUAGUAACAUAGUUAAAACUUCAACUUUUACCAGGGAACCCUAUCUAGAAGUUAAACUCGAGUUAAUUUUACAUGAAAAGGGAAAAUAAUUUUAUUAAUCUUUUACAUACCAGUAACUUUUCCAGUCAUGGAGCUAAUAGGCAGAGGAGCUGGUAUUGGCCCUAAUCGAUCAGACUCUAAAGCCUCUAAUCAAUAUUCUUGUUCCCCUCGCCUUGCUAACUACCCCACAGCUACACUAGCCUUCUUUUUGUUUAUCGAACACUUGAAGCUUAUUCCUACUCCCUGAUUCCUUUGUCCUCUCCCCUGAAUGCUGUUCCCCUGCUAUUCACAUAGUGGCUUCUUCAUUCAGGGUUAGCUCAAAUACCCCCUCCUCCAGGAGAUUUUUUUUGAACACCUUCAUUUUUUUCAACCACGUUCUCCUUCCCCACAACUACCUAGUAAUUUCCUGUUGCAUUGCAAUGUUUUGUUUCCUUUCUGACACUUCACCCUCUGAAAUUAUCAUGUUAAAUGUUCUACUUAUUUAUUGUCUACUUCCCCUCACAAAGAUGUAAACCUCAUAGCCUAGUAAUUGGAGUUAACUUGCUUAUUGUUGUUUCACUAGUACCUAGAAUUGUCCCUGGCACAUGAUGGGCGUAGAGUUAUUGAUUGAUUGAAAAAUGAUGCUCUCCUAUCCAAUUUCUCUCAUACAACUCUUAUGAAAUUCAGAUAAGGAUAUCCAAACAUGUUUUUAUUUCUUAAUAACUUAAAAAUAAAAAUUUUAAUUCUGCCCAAAUAACAAACCAAAACUGCCUUUAGACAAAACGUCAAGGCAAAAGCUUAAUCUUCAUUCAAAAACACUUUUAUUAUACAUUGAUUAUGUAGAAGUCAUGCUGUUUUAGGGUCUGUAGUGGACACCAAAGAAAUAAAAUCAUGAAUCUCUUAUGUACUUACCAAAUUAUAUUUCAUUUCAUUCUUUACAGAUUCUCUGUAGUUGGCGUCUAAACUGAUUAAGGCCUUGAAAAGUGUUUGAUUAGUUUUUAUGAUGCUAACGUCUAGAACAGUGGAUUCAAAAGUCAGAUGCAAGUAGCUCAGUGAAAAAAAAUUAUUAGAAUUUCUAUUCUUUUUCAUUUUUAUUUCUCUAUUUUUAAAAAUUGUCUAAUUUAUGUUUAUGUUAUGAAGACUAUACAGAAUUCAUGUAGUAAAAAUGCAUAAAAUUUAUAAAUAAAUAUCUGUUAGGAUGCAUGCUCAAAAUUUUGCUUAUGGGCUGUGUAACUGCAGUAAAAAAAAAACAAAGAUCAUUGGAAUGAAAGCUUCAGACAUAUAACAGGUAUUUUUAUUAUUUCAUAAUUCAUAUAAAUGAAUUAUUGAUCAGAUUCUUACAAAUGGGGUGUGGACAAGUACUUAAUUCAAUUAUAUCUUAAAUGCUUUAUGAAGGAUGCAGAACACCUUCCUUCAGAAUAUGGAAAAGGAAAAGAUAACUUUUGCCUGUGGAAAGGCAUAGGAUUGAAACUGGCAUUUACCUUGUAAUAUGGAUAUGAUUUACUAAAGUUCAGAUAAAGAGGAUGCUCAUUCUAGGAUCUAUUGCAAGCAAACAGAAAAAUAGGACCAAGCCUCUUGUGUUCAA